UACGAAGGGUCCUAGCGUUGUUCGGAAUUACUGGGCGUAAAGGGCGCGUAGGCGGCCUAUUAAGUCAGGUGUGAAAGCCCCGAGCUUAACUUGGGAACUGCACUUGAUACUGGUAGGCUAGAGAUCGGAAGAGGUGAGUGGAAUUCCUAGUGUAGAGGUGAAAUUCGUAGAUAUUAGGAAGAACACCAGUGGCGAAGGCGGCUCACUGGUCCGAUACUGACGCUAAGGCGCGAAAGCGUGGGGAGCAAACAGG
This 253-nucleotide ribosomal RNA is filed under the name uncultured bacterium. Its description in RNAcentral is "partial 16S ribosomal RNA". It matches the Rfam family "Bacterial small subunit ribosomal RNA", at positions 524 to 776 of the family's 1533-position model. The record is from RNAcentral.